This 20-nucleotide small nuclear RNA is filed under the name Arabidopsis thaliana (thale cress). RNAcentral's name for it is "snRNA_04528". The record is from RNAcentral. Lineage: Eukaryota; Viridiplantae; Streptophyta; Magnoliopsida; Brassicales; Brassicaceae.
CGUUGCUUUUUGAUCCUUCG